UGAAGUAACCAUGAUGAAGUUCUCUAUCAAGACCAACAAACAAAAGCAGCAGCAGAUGAAUCAAUCUAACCCAUCUCUGGUGAAGGUGCGUCACCACUGCCUACAUGCACAGCAACGACAACAUGUUACAUUUGAGCCUCAGCACACCAAUAUUAAUUAUCCAGUAACACGCCGGGCAAUUUUAUCUAGAAUACGUUACAAGGACAAGGUUGAAGUCUCAAACCGAGCUAACAGAAUGUCACUAUUUUAGUAUUUUCAGAAGUAUGUGUGUACCUUGAUAGUAGACAGGAGGAGCACAGCCUGAGAAACAGAGACUCGGACCAAGGCUCCGCGAUUUUUAACUACAGCUCCGCCUGCUCCGGGCGCGGAGUUGUGGAGCGGAGGACCUCAAUUUCA
This 396-nucleotide long non-coding RNA is filed under the name Hordeum vulgare. Its description in RNAcentral is "long non-coding RNA (HVUL_LNC020579)". Lineage: Eukaryota; Viridiplantae; Streptophyta; Magnoliopsida; Poales; Poaceae. The record is from RNAcentral.